GGCUCAGGAUGAACGCUGGCGGCGUGCUUAAGACAUGCAAGUCGAACGAAAAGUUUGUAGCAAUACGAGCUUUUAGUGGCGAAUGGGUGCGUAACACGUAGGUGACCUGCCCUGAAGUGUGGAAUAACAGUCCGAAAGGAUUGCUAAUACCGCAUGUGGUCUUGGUAAUUUGAAAGCCAAGUCUAAAGUAGUAAUACGCUUCAGGAGGGGCCUGCGGUCCAUCAGCUAGUUGGUGAGGUAACGGCUCACCAAGGCGACGACGGAUAGGGGACCUGAGAGGGUGGCCCCCCACAUUGGCACUGACACACGGGCCAAACUCCUACGGGAGGCAGCAGUCGGGAAUAUUGGGCAAUGGGCGAAAGCCUGACCCAGCAACGCCGCGUGCAUGAUGAAGGCCUUCGGGUCGUAAAGUGCUUUUUGGGAGGAUGAGGAAGGACAGUACUCCCAGAAUAAGUCACGGCUAACUACGUGCCAGCAGCCGCGGUAAAACGUAGGUGACAAGCGUUAUCCGGAUUUACUGGGCGUAAAGCGCGUGCAGGCGGCUUAGCAAGUCGGGCAUGAAAUCUCCUGGCCUAACUGGGAGACGCUGUCCGAUACUGUUAGGCUUGAGGGUAGUAGAGGGUGGUGGAAUUCCGCAUGUAGUGGUGAAAUGCGUAGAUAUGCGGAGGAACACCAGUGGCGAAAGCGGCCACCUGGACUACUCCUGACGCUGAAGCGCGAAAGCUAGGGGAGCAAACGGGAUUAGAAACCCCGGUAGUCCUAGCUGUAAACGAUGAUGACUGGGUGUCGGCGAUUAAAAACCGUCGGUGCCGUAGCUAACGCGUUAAGUCAUCCGCCUGGGGACUACGGCCGCAAGGCUAAAACUCAAAG
Molecule: ribosomal RNA, 870 nt
Filed under: uncultured bacterium
Lineage: Bacteria
Description: bacterial SSU rRNA
Rfam family: Bacterial small subunit ribosomal RNA
Source: RNAcentral